Long non-coding RNA from Argiope bruennichi, 928 nucleotides. RefSeq lists it as uncharacterized. The record is from RefSeq and is a predicted model, not a curated record. NCBI's taxonomy places the organism in Eukaryota, Metazoa, Arthropoda, Arachnida, Araneae, Araneidae. The transcript has 3 exons.
UCGCCUGAAGGUUUCCACUAAGAACAUAAACAAGGAAUGGUCUGCUGUUCUGUCCCUCCCCCAGUUUAAUCCUAACUUAAUAUCCCUAACCCAUCCGUGUCCUGGACCAAGUUCUAGCGAUUCCGAACAUCUGGCUGUCUUCGUGAAACGUUUCCACGUCUAUUCUUUUCAAAUCACAUAUUAUUUGUGAUCCCCGAGUCUCGCCCUUUCUCUUUCCGGUGUGGAUUCCCGCCGAUUUUUCAAUCUGAAGCCCCUCGAGUGGCCGCCCUAUGCGAAAAGCGGAGUGCCUUAGUUGGAACCUGGCGUUUAGAAGUCGCUUCCUUAUACACAACCUUACUACUGCAAAAGGAAGCCGUCAAGGAAACAGUGGAAACGUGCUAGAACUGAAAGUACUCACACAACUACAUCACGUACCUUGAAGAGAGUUUCUGUCCUAUCAACCAGGAUAUUUCAGGAAUCAUUAAAAAAAUCAAAACUUGAAGUCUGAAGUCUAAACUGUGGAAAAGUAUUUUAAAAGGAGAAGAAAAUACAAAACAGUCCAGGACAAAACUAAAUAGCCUAACCAAGCCCACAAUGGGUCUCGGAUACGAAUUUCCUCCCAAAAAAACAGAGCGUCCAAGUGACAGAUCUGAAGCAUACGGAGCAUGGGUUACCAAGUACAAUAACGCACAACAAAAAUCGUUCAAAUGGAAAGAAGCCAAUGAUGACAAAAAGAGCGCCAACCAAAACAACCCUUGGGGCCCUGUCUUCAAAAAUAAACAAAACUUUCUCGAAAUGCACUUUUGCUGAGGACUUUUUAUCUAACCAGUGCAAUAUUAUGUAAUAUGUCAGAAUCUGUAUAAAUGUAGUUACUGUGACAAUUGUUGUGAAAUAUCCGUGAAAUGCUUACUUCAUUUCUUGUAGUUGAAUAAAACUAACUUUAAGAACA